UUAGAGUUUGAUCCUGGCUCAGGACGAACGCUGGCGGCGUGCUUAAAACAUGCAAGUCGAACGGGGUCCAUCCACUCGCAAGAGUGGUGAAGACCGAGUGGCGAACGGGUGCGUAACACGUGAGGAACCUGCCCCAGAGACCGGGAUAACCCCUCGAAAGAGGAGCUAAUACCGGAUGUGCUCAUCGGAUCGCCUGGUCUGAUGAGGAAAUGGAUUCCGCUCUGGGAUGGCCUCGCGGCCUAUCAGCUUGUUGGUGGGGUAACGGCCUACCAAGGCGACGACGGGUAGCUGGUCUGAGAGGACGAUCAGCCACACUGGGACUGAGACACGGCCCAGACUCCUACGGGAGGCAGCAGUUAGGAAUCUUGCGCAAUGGGCGAAAGCCUGACGCAGCAACGCCGCGUGGGGGAUGAAGGCUCUCGGGUCGUAAACCCCUUUCAGCAGGGACGAUUAUGACGGUACCUGCAGAAGAAGGACCGGCCAACUACGUGCCAGCAGCCGCGGUAAUACGUAGGGUCCGAGCGUUGUCCGGAUUCAUUGGGCGUAAAGAGCUCGUAGGCGGUUUCGUAAGUCGGAUGUGAAAACUCAGGGCUCAACCCGGAGACGCCAUCCGAUACUGCGAUGACUUGAGUCUGGUAGGGGAUCACGGAAUACCUGGUGUAGCGGUGAAAUGCGCAGAUAUCAGGUGGAACACCGAUGGCGAAGGCAGUGAUCUGGGCCAGUACUGACGCUGAGGAGCGAAAGCGUGGGGGAGCAAACAGGAUUAGAUACCCUGGUAGUCCACGCCGUAAACGUUGGGCACUAGGUGUGGGUCCUCAUCAACGGGAUCCGUGCCGUAGCUAACGCAUUAAGUGCCCCGCCUGGGGAGUACGGCCGCAAGGCUAAAACUCAAAGGAAUUGACGGGGGCCCGCACAAGCGGCGGAGCAUGUUGCUUAAUUCGAGGCGACGCGAAGAACCUUACCUGGGCUUGACAUGCAGGGAAAAGCCGUAGAGAUACGGUGUCCGUAAGGGCCCUGCACAGKUGGUGCAUGGCUGUCGUCAGSUCGUGUCGUGAGAUGUUGGGUUAAGUCCCGCAACGAGCGCAACCCUUGUCCUAUGUUGCCAGCGCGUAAUGGCGGGGACUCGUAGGAGACUGCCGGGGUCAACUCGGAGGAAGGUGGGGACGACGUCAAGUCAUCAUGCCCCUUAUGUCCAGGGCUGCAAACAUGCUACAAUGGCGAGUACAAAGGGUCGCGAUCCCGCGAGGGGGAGCUAAUCCCAUAAAGCUCGUCUCAGUUCGGAUUGGAGUCUGCAACUCGACUCCAUGAAGUUGGAGUCGCUAGUAAUCCCGGAUCAGCUACGCCGGGGUGAAUACGUUCCCGGGUCUUGUACACACCGCCCGUCACAUCACGAAAGUCGGCUGUACCAGAAGUCGGUGUUCCAACCCGCAAGGGAGGAAGCCGCCUAAGGUAUGGUCGGUAAUUGGGGUGAAGUCGUAACAAGGUAACC
Molecule: ribosomal RNA, 1489 nt
Filed under: uncultured bacterium
Lineage: Bacteria
Description: 16S ribosomal RNA
Rfam family: Bacterial small subunit ribosomal RNA
Source: RNAcentral